GCUGUGUUGCCAGAGUGGUUAAUGGGUAAGACUUGAACGGCAUCACGCCUUAUAGAUAUCUUAUGGUUUCGGCCUCGUAGGUUCAAAUCCUGCACACAGCG
Molecule: transfer RNA, 101 nt
Filed under: Pseudogymnoascus sp. VKM F-4281 (FW-2241)
Lineage: Eukaryota; Fungi; Ascomycota; Leotiomycetes; Thelebolales; Thelebolaceae
Rfam family: tRNA
About the family: Transfer RNA (tRNA) molecules are approximately 80 nucleotides in length.
Source: Rfam by way of RNAcentral